RNAcentral lists this ribosomal RNA (371 nucleotides) under uncultured bacterium. RNAcentral describes it as "bacterial SSU rRNA". It matches the Rfam family "Bacterial small subunit ribosomal RNA", at positions 28 to 404 of the family's 1533-position model. The record is from RNAcentral.
GACGAACGCUGGCGGCGUGCUUAACACAUGCAAGUCGAGCGGUAAGGCCCUCGGGUACGACGAGCGGCGAACGGGUGAGUAACACGUGGGUGACCUGCCUCUAGCUCUGGGAUAAGCCUGGGAAACUGGGUCUAAUACCGGAUAUGACUCCACGGCGCAUGUUGUGGGGUGGAAAGCCUUGUGUGGCUAGAGAUGGGCCCGCGGCCUAUCAGCUUGUUGGUGGGGUGAGGCCUACCAAGGCGACGACGGGUAGCCGGCCUGAGAGGGCGACCGGCCACACUGGGACUGAGACACGGCCCAGACUCCUACGGGAGGCAGCAGUGGGGAAUCUUGCGCAAUGGGCGAAAGCCUGACGCAGCGACGCCGCGUGA